GCGACUGCUGCCUAUGAUUACAUUUGCUGUCUGAAAAUAUCUGUAUGUAGAUUUUCCUCAGCAUUCGUCACUACCACUGAGGCAGCAAUCCU
This 92-nucleotide small nucleolar RNA is filed under the name Amphilophus citrinellus (Midas cichlid). RNAcentral describes it as "Small nucleolar RNA SNORD70 (ENSACIG00000021805.1)". Lineage: Eukaryota; Metazoa; Chordata; Actinopteri; Cichliformes; Cichlidae. The record is from RNAcentral.